GCUGGGGAAGAGGCUGGUGGACUGAGCGAGCUCAGAUGACGUCAGGGACAGAAGCUCACAGUAUCUGACUCAGCAGAGGCAGCAGCCUUGGUUACAAAGCUGCUGCCCCGCUAAGGGGCAGGGGACAUAAAGGGCCUUUGAGGGCCUCCCCUUCCACCCCCAGCUCCCCCAGUGCUUGGCUUGCCACCACAUCUUUGUUCUCUUGGGGUGUUAGGAGCUGGGAUACCCUGAGAAAAUUUCUCCUGGGCCUGCUAGAUCCGCCUCUGCCUUGGCACUGACUGAAAGGGUGCCCUAGAUGGUGCUGAUCAGCCUGGCAGAGAGUGGUUCAGACUGGAAAUUUAUAGCCAGGGCACCUAAAUUCGAAUUCCAAAUUGGAGAUUGCUUGCUGGGUGACCUUGGGAAAGUCAUUUACUUCUCCUGGUCUCAGGUUCUUCAUCUAUAAAAUGAGAAAGUUGAGUUAGAUGACCUCUGAGGGCGCUUCCAGACCCAGAUUGGUUCCCUCUGACGCUUUUCAGUCAAUGAACAUUUAUUAAUCACCUACUAUGUGCCACCUGUCCUUUGCUAAGCACAUUUGUAAAAUGAGGCGAUCAGAGGCCUUGGAUUUGGAGUUCGAGAGCUCCAGUUUGAAUCUUGACUCCGUCAGCGCUAACUGUUGCUCAACAUGGGGAGUUGCUCAUCCUGUGCUGGUGACAGCUUAGCAGAAUCAACCCUUGCCAUGCCCAUUCUGAAAUCCCAGAGGCGUCAGUCCUGUUGUUCAUCAGUGGUUGGCAGCUUUAUACUUCAACUCUCCAGGAGAGUGUGAGUUUGCCAACCAAUCAGAAUUUGCAUUUUAGUCUUCCUCAUCAUUUGGGCAAGCAGGCACUAUAAGGGCUGUGCCCUGGAGGAAGGGGGAAAUCACACCUGGUGAGGAAGAUACAAGGUCCUCUUCAUUGAAAGGGAUCAGGUCUCUAAUCAGUAAUUCUUGGCACGGAGCCCUGCCUCAGUUGCUUCUAUUGCAGAUUAGAUAAAUUUGUUGGUGGGCUAUCGUAUUGUUUUCAAAUACUAAUAUGUAGGUUGUUUUCAAUUCCACCUGUGUGAGCGGGCCAGUCAAGAACCAUGGAGCCUUUCUCUUUAGAUUAGGCAAUCUUUCCACCUGCAAUGGCAGCAGAGGGAGGAACCUUGCCUUUCCACUGGGAAUUCUGCCAGUUGCUACUCAGAGGAAUCACUUUCAUUCCAUGGAGACUUUGUCCCUGAUGUCAUCAGUACGCGGCAGCCAGAAGAACAGGGUUGACUUUAACCAUGGAGACCAAAUGAAGGCCAUAGACAAGGCACCUCGCAGGGUAAUACAAAGAAGCUCCUGAAAUUACACCUCCUUCAUAUCCAGCUCAUCUGAACAUGAAACCGUCAGGAACGCUCAUUCACUUUCUGCUCAGAAAGUGCCCCCCACCUUUUAUUUGUGUUAUAGACAACCUAAACGAUUGUCCUUAAUGAUAUAUUUUGAUGAUGUGAUGAAUUGUGUUCAUAUGUUAUUAAGCAUAUUAAUGUUUUGUGUACUGCUUUUCCCUGGUUGUCAUCUCUGGGAUUUUCUGUGUUUAUGAUGUCAGUCUGAAGCUAGACACUCCAGAGGGACAUUGGACUCAUUCAUUCAGUAAAGUGCACAGUGCAGAAACAUUCAGGUGACAUUGUCUAGAACUGACAAAGAAUUAAUGGUAAAAUUAAAAAAAAGAAAAUUUUAAUUAAAAUUUUAAAACUGUUAAAUAGGAACAUAGCUUUAAUUGGAAAAAAAACACUACAACAAUGUGGAUUCAUUUAACAAACUGUUGCCAAGUAAUUUAAUUAUUGGGCUGUGUUGAAUGGAUUCAUUUAUGAUUGAUAAGAUAGAUUGCUUAAAUGCAAACAGAUAGUGUUUUGUGUUCUUAAAACACUUCAUUUUCUGAAAGUAUUUCAGAUAUUCCCUUUGCAAAUUUUUCCAUUCAUCCAAUUGUUUACCAAUUCUUUCUUUAUGGAGAAUCUACUCUUGGUUGAAUUAUUAUGAACCUCUAAUUACUAGGAUUGGACUGUUAAGAACAAUUGGUGUAUUUUUAUAGCACUUUGGGGUUUACCCCUUCUUUCAAGAUAUAUAAUUUCAUUUAAGUCUCACAACAACCCAAAUGAGGAAGAUAUUAAAGGUAUUCUCCCCAUUUUAUGCAGAAGGAAAUUGCAGCAUAAAGUGAAAAUUAAUGAGGUUUCAUGGAAUCUGCUUUUUUAAAUGAUGGAGCUCAUAUCUAUUUGACUUGAUUCUUAUUUGCUCUUGUAGUCCAGUUCAAGGAACUUCACAGAAUUAUAGUCUUUAAUAUGUUAAUAUCACUCCAUGACAAUAUGUUUAAGCCAUCAUAUGGCUAUUAUAACCAAUUCUGUUACUCUUCAUAUCUAUUUAUUUUGAUGUAUGUUCUGGUCAGGGGUCUUUUUGACUAGGGAGGCAGCAUGGCCUAGGGACAAAUAGCUGGUUUUGAAACCAUAAAGACCUAGGUUCAAAUCUUGCAUCUGAUACCUAAUGGCUGUGUGUCCCUAAACAAGAUUCUUAACUUCUCAGUGCUUUAAGUGAGUCUCUAAAGAGACUACAAUGGGCAGCUAGGUAGCUAGUAGAGUGCCAGGUCUGGAGUUGGGAGGACCUGAGUUCAACUUUGGCCCCAGACACUUCCUAACUGUGUAACCCUGAGCAAGUUACUUAACCCCCAUUGCCUAGCUCUUGUCCUUCUGUCUUAGAAUUGUUAGUAAGAUAAAAGUAAAGGUUUAAAAAUAACAAUAGACUACAAAUUGCACUGAUUUGUGGUGGUAGAGUAGGUCCUUCCUUAACUGCUCUUUAUACCAAUGAAAGGACUGAUGAUUUCAGUCCUUUGCCCAGUCCCUGUGCCUAAAUAUCUAAUUACUUUAAAUUAGGUACUAGCCAUUUAUAAUGAGUAUUUAAUAAAUAUUAGAUUCCAUCGAAUUUGAAGUGAUUAAAAGAAAAAAACAAAUCAUAUACAAAUUAGAUUUCUUGAUCAGGCAGAAUUAAACUCUAACCAGGAUUAUGAAUAAAGGAUUGCUACUGUCCUACAGUAAACGAGAUUAUGAAUUUCAUGAUGAAUGCCUACUAGUUUGGAUCUAUACUAAUGGAAGGAAUUCCCUAAUGUUUAACCCUCAAUCCCAGCUCUGAAACUGUAGAGUCUUAGAGAGUUGUCUGGGGGCACUGAGGGAUUAACUUGCUUUCCCAAGGUCACAUCCAUAGCCCUCCAAGCAUUAUACCAUACUGCCUCUAAUCUCUUAGUAGUUACUUAAUAAAUACUUGAUUGAUUGACUUUGAAAUGAAUAUAUUUCUCAAACUUGGUCACUGUACCGUUUCCAAGAAGUCAAGAAACUGUAAGAUUAACAGAAGCCAGUGCUCAGUAAGUGACCAAGGAUAUGAACAAAUCAUUUUUAAAAGAAUUGCAAACCAGCAGGGACCGUAUUUUUUAAGUUCCAGAUCAUGAAUAAAAAGAGAAACAUAAACUAAAAUAACUGUUUACUUUAUACCUUUCUAUGUGGCAAAGAUGUUGGAAGGUGAAAAGAGUCAGGCCAGAGGGUCUAAUAAAAGCACACUAAUGUACUUUUGUGGAGCUGUGAAUUGGUUCACCCUUUCUGGAAAACAAUAUGUAAUUAUAUUAGAAAACGUACAAAAUUCUUCAUAUCCUUUGACGCAGUGAUCUCGCUAUUGGGUAUAUACCCCAAGGAGGUUAAAGACAGGAAGAAAGACCCUGUAUAAGCCAAACUAUUCAUAGCAGCACUUUUUGUGGUAGUAAACCAGAAACAAAGUGGGUGUUCAUUGCUGAGCAAACUACGGUUUUGGAAGUAAUGGAAUAUUAUCAUUCAAUAAGAAAUGAAAAAGAUGAGACAUUCAGAAAAACAUGAGAAGCCAUAUUAACUGAUACAAAGUAAAGUAAACAAAACCAAGAGAAGAAUGAAUACAUUACAAGGAAGCCAAUUCUGGGUAAUUGUACUGACCGAGCAAGAUGCCAGAAAAUAAUGAAAUAUUCAUCCUACCUCUUAGUGGGAAAGACUAUGGGGACAGAAUGUUGCAUAAACUGUCAGAUGCCAUCAAUGUAUUAGUUAAUUUUCUUAACUGCUUUUCUUUGUUACAAAGAAGGGGACCAUUAUGUGGUUGAGAUCGGGAAGAGGAUUUAUGUUAGAAAUAUCCAGGGUAUAAUAAAGAGUCUUAACAACACUAAAAAAAAAAGUAAAGAAAUAAAAAGCCCCCUAAGGUUAACCAGCAAAAAAUGACUGUGAAAAUGCCAUUUUAAGACCAUUAGAUAGAGUUAGGCCCUCAUGUAGAUAGUGAGUUUUCAUUUUUGAAGUAGGAUUAAGAUCACAAAGUCAGAGAAGGGGCUGGAAUAAAGAGAAGAGAGUUGGGAAGCAUUGAUCCUCUGAAUUUGGUAGUUAGAGAAUUGAUUUUUGGAUUAUAAAAUUUCAAGUGACUCAAUUUUUUAUGUCAGGCUAGAGCACAGUGACAUUUUACUUCCUAAAUUAAUUAUAGUGAAGGGCCUACAUAAAUCGGGUAAAUUAUUGCAUCUGAACAUGCUUGAGUGAGUCAUUUCUUUCCCAAAAGGGCAUCUUGCAUUUAGAGUGGAGGAAGGAAUGGCAAAUGUCACAGAUAAUGUUUCUCAUCCCUUUUGUAUACAUUUUAUUUUUUCCAUUUGCAAUUUUAUUCAUUAGAAUUCUAAACAAGUACAAGUUGGUUGAAGAUGGAUUUGUUAGGAUGCGAAUUAUAGUGGAAUGAAAAGUUAGUUUUCAUGA
Molecule: long non-coding RNA, 4767 nt
Organism: Monodelphis domestica (gray short-tailed opossum)
Lineage: Eukaryota; Metazoa; Chordata; Mammalia; Didelphimorphia; Didelphidae
Source: RefSeq, a predicted model, not a curated record